Triticum aestivum (bread wheat) is the source of this 135-nucleotide non-coding RNA. The record is from Rfam. NCBI's taxonomy places the organism in Eukaryota, Viridiplantae, Streptophyta, Magnoliopsida, Poales, Poaceae.
CUUUUACUCCCUCCGUCCGAAAAUACUUGUCACCAAAGUGGAUAAAAAAGGAUGUAUCUAGAACUAAUAUACAUCUAGAUACAUCCUCUUUAAUUCAUUUUGAUGACAAGUAUUUCCGGACGGAGGGAGUAUAUA